RNAcentral lists this long non-coding RNA (610 nucleotides) under Chlamydomonas reinhardtii. RNAcentral's name for it is "long non-coding RNA (CREI_LNC001156)". Lineage: Eukaryota; Viridiplantae; Chlorophyta; Chlorophyceae; Chlamydomonadales; Chlamydomonadaceae. The record is from RNAcentral.
GCGGCUCCGGGCUGGGCGGCGCAGGUGGCGCGGGGCUUGGAGGCUCCGGGCUUGGAGGCGCAGGUGGCGUGGGGCUGGGUGGCUCAGGUGACGGAGGCGCCGGGCUUGGAGGCUCGGGGCUGGGAGGCGCAGGUGGCGUGGGGCUGGGCGGCUCCGGGCUGGGCGGCGCAGGUGGCGCGGGGCUGGGUGGCUCCGGCGAUGGAGGUGCCGGGUUGGGUGGCUCCGGGCUGGGUGGCUCAGGCGAUGGUGGCGCGGGGCUAGGAGGCGCUGGGCUCGGCGGUUCCGGGGACGGUGGCGCCGGGCUGGGAGGCGCGGGGCUAGGCGGCUCUGGGCUGGGAGGUGCAGGGCUUGGAGGCUCGGGGCUGGGCGGCGCAGGUGGCGUCGGGCUGGGCGGCUCCGGGCUGGGCGGCGCAGGUGGCGCGGGGCUUGGAGGCUCGGGGCUGGGAGGCACAGGUGGCGUGGGGCUGGGUGGCUCAGGUGACGGAGGCGCCGGGCUUGGAGGCUCGGGGCUGGGCGGCGCAGGUGGCGCGGGGCUGGGUGGCUCCGGCGACGGAGGUGCCGGGCUGGGUGGCUCCGGGCUGGGUGGCUCAGGCGAUGGUGGCGCAGGGCU